RNAcentral lists this transfer RNA (72 nucleotides) under Candidatus Liptonbacteria bacterium RIFCSPLOWO2_01_FULL_45_15. Its description in RNAcentral is "tRNA-Arg". It matches the Rfam family "tRNA". From Rfam's summary of the family: Transfer RNA (tRNA) molecules are approximately 80 nucleotides in length. Their secondary structure includes four short double-helical elements and three loops (D, anti-codon, and T loops). Further hydrogen bonds mediate the characteristic L-shaped molecular structure. tRNAs have two regions of fundamental functional importance: the anti-codon, which is responsible for specific mRNA codon recognition, and the 3' end, to which the tRNAs corresponding amino acid is attached (by aminoacyl-tRNA synthetases). tRNAs cope with the degeneracy of the genetic code in two manners: having more than one tRNA (with a specific anti-codon) for a particular amino acid; and 'wobble' base-pairing, i.e. permitting non-standard base-pairing at the 3rd anti-codon position. Lineage: Bacteria; Candidatus Liptoniibacteriota. The record is from RNAcentral.
CCCCUCGUAGUUCAAUGGAUAGAAUAGCUCACUCCUAACGAGCUGAUGUAGGUUCGAUUCCUGCCGAGGGGA